Molecule: long non-coding RNA, 758 nt
Organism: Sapajus apella (tufted capuchin)
Lineage: Eukaryota; Metazoa; Chordata; Mammalia; Primates; Cebidae
Exons: 4
Source: RefSeq, a predicted model, not a curated record
GCAUCCUGCUUUUGCCAUGCUGGCUGUCUGAGCCCUUCGCUUUGUCACAACAUCAUAAACUGCCUGGCAGUGCCUGUAACUCCCGGCGAGGUCGGUACCCUUUUCAAGAACCGCGCUCUUUUCCUUCCUGGUGUUCUAGGCACACAGCUGUGCCGGCAAAUGCUCUGGUCUUCUCAGUCCCGUUACUCUCUGUGAGGAAACCUGCAGGCUGUUUUCCAGGAAAGAAGGUUUCUGUGGGUCAACAUUCCAGGCUUCCUUGGGUACCCUACCUCACCCCUCGCAAGGCCGCAGUGAAGGCUGAGGUCUCAUCUGAAGGCCUGGCUGGCAGAGGAGGAUCCGCUUCCAAGCUUUCUCAUAGUCAUUGUCAGGAUUCAGUUCCUUGUGGGCACCAGCUUCCAACACACCAAGUGGGAUAGAGCAAGACGGAGCCAGCGUAGUGAGAGUUUUUAUGCAUGACCAGGAGCUCAUCAGCUGAAGAAGGAUCAUAAGAGGCUCUGGGCGGCAAGAGGCCAGCUGGGGGGGCCCAGACUUGGAGGAGAGCCUGCAGCAUCAGGGAAAGAGUGUGGCCAUAUCCCCUGCAUACUUACUGGUGCCUAUGCGGUGUUAGGUGUUGAUGGAUGAGCAUGUACAGAUCGUGCUUGAAACUCACGUGCUCUUCAGCACCGUGCCAUGAGGAAAGUCUCUUCACGCCCAUUUUACGGAUGUAGAAUCCAAGACGCUGAGGAGUAAGUCAGAGGUCGCCUGGUGUGAGAGGUGAA